Molecule: transfer RNA, 73 nt
Filed under: Actinomycetota bacterium
Lineage: Bacteria; Bacillati; Actinomycetota
Description: tRNA-Val
Rfam family: tRNA
About the family: Transfer RNA (tRNA) molecules are approximately 80 nucleotides in length. Their secondary structure includes four short double-helical elements and three loops (D, anti-codon, and T loops).
Source: RNAcentral
GGGCGCAUAGCUCAGCGGUCAGAGCACCGGUCUUACAAACCGGGGGUCGCUGGUUCGAUCCCAGCUGCGCCCA